UACGUAGGGUGCAAGCGUUAAUCGGAAUUACUGGGCGUAAAGCGUGCGCAGGCGGUUCGUUGUGUCGGCGGUGAAAGCCCCGGGCUCAACCCUGGGAAUGGCCGUUGAAACUGGCGAACUGGAGUGUGGCAGAGGGGGGUGGAAUUCCGCGUGUAGCAGUGAAAUGCGUAGAGAUGCGGAGGAACACCGAUGGCGAAGGCAGCCCCCUGGGCUAACACUGACGCUCAGGCACGAAAGCGUGGGGAGCAAACAGG
This 254-nucleotide ribosomal RNA is filed under the name uncultured bacterium. RNAcentral's name for it is "partial 16S ribosomal RNA". It matches the Rfam family "Bacterial small subunit ribosomal RNA", at positions 524 to 776 of the family's 1533-position model. The record is from RNAcentral.